RNAcentral lists this ribosomal RNA (2470 nucleotides) under Triticum aestivum (bread wheat). RNAcentral's name for it is "partial small subunit ribosomal RNA". The record is from RNAcentral. Lineage: Eukaryota; Viridiplantae; Streptophyta; Magnoliopsida; Poales; Poaceae.
AAAAUAUGAAACUACUUUUUAUGAUUGAUCAAAUGAUAUAAAUUUCAUAUUAUGAAUAUUGACAUAUUUUUUCUAAAAAGUUGGUCAAACAUGCACUCGUUUGACUUUUCAAAAAAUAAAUACACCUUAUAUAAAGGAGCAGAGGGUGUAUAAGGUAGAAGAUGGAGUACAAAUCAUAUUCUACCAAAUAUGAAAUAUAGAGAUAUGUCUAUAUAAUCUAGGAGUAUAUGCGUUUGAAUCGUCUCGCAGAAAAGAAAAGAAAAAAGCCUUUGGUCUUCGCGUAUGACGCAGAGCUCGAUCUAUUGCGUGACGGAGAAGGGCACCCGGGGAGACGACGACGGGGCGGCGACGGAGUCAGCCGGUGGCCAACCAAAGACCCAUCGGCUCCCCUAUCCGAACCUUUUUGUUCUCUUCUGUUUCGUUUCUUGCAUAAGAUUCUUUGCCGCGCGGAGACCUGUAACGAGAAUAACGGCCAGCGCGUGCGCGCGCCUGGCUCUGAUGGUUCCAUGUCGCCCCGCUCGGGCAGCUGCGUGUCUCCCGCUGGUGCUGAUACUUUGCCUCCUCUCGUGCGCCGCCGCGAGGCCUGCGCCGGCGCCGGCGCCGGUGCACGGCCGGCACCAUGGCCAAGGGUGGCACUCGUUCAAGCGGCUGCUAGACGCGCAGCGGGGGACCCGUGUGACGGGGCUCGGCGACCUGAAGCGGUACCUGGCCAUGUUCGGCUACAUGCCCAAGCAUGCCGGGCCGGAGCACGGCGGUGACCCGACGGACGCCUUCGACGAGCACCUCGAGGCCGCCGUCAAACGGUAUCAGUCCCGGCUCAGCCUGCCGGUCACCGGCCGGCUCGACGUCGUGACGCUCGACCAGAUGAUGUCCCCGCGCUGCGGCGUCCAGGACGACCACGGCGCGUCCGUCUCGCCAGAGCACGGCGGCGCGGUCAGCCGGUUCACGUUCUUCAAGGGCAAGCCGCGGUGGACGCGGCGGUCGGACCCGGACCCGGUCGUGCUCACGUACGCCGUGUCGCCGACGGCCACCGUCGGCUACCUGCCGGACGACGACGUGAGGGCCGUGUUCCGGCGCGCGUUCGAGCGGUGGGCGCGGGUCAUCCCCGUGGCGUUCGUCGAGACGGACGACUACGACGAGGCCGACAUCAAGGUGGGGUUCUACGGGGGCAGCCACGGCGACGGGGUGCCCUUCGACGGGCCGCUCGGCGUGCUCGGCCACGCCUUCUCCCCCAAGAACGGGCGGCUCCACCUCGACGCCGCCGAGCGGUGGGCGGUGGACUUCGCCGGCGAAACAAAAGCCUCGGCGGCCAUCGACCUCGAGUCCGUGGCGACUCACGAGAUCGGCCACGUCCUCGGGCUCGGACACUCGACUUCGCCGCAGGCCGUCAUGUACCCGAGCAUCAAGCCGCUGGAGAAGAAGGCCGACCUCACCGUCGACGACGUCGAAGGCGUGCAGCUGCUGUACGGGUCCAACCCGGAUUUCAAGCUCAGCUCCCUCUACGACGCGACGGACACCUCCGGCUCGCCGGCGGGGAGCAGUUGGGCUGCUUCCUCUGCUAGGUUAGUUAUUUGUGCGGUCCUGGUCAUACUCGUGACGCACUUGUAGAUAGACAAAGACAUCGUUUUUAUAGGCAAAAGAUCAGAUACAGAAAAAACAAGUGUUGGGUAGUUUGAUUCUAUCUAUUAGAUAGAAGAGAAAGAAGUGUUUCUCUUCUUGCAUAGACAGUCAAAAGACGACAGCAUGAUGUAACUGUACAUAAUAUAUUCACCAAAAAUUUGAAACUCUCUACUGUUUGACUUGAGGAUUAUGAUUAGUAACAGCGACAAACUUUCACUACAGAGAACUGACAUUACAUCAUAUGUUUCUACCGUGACACUUCACUCUGUAGUGGCAAACCGCUUUCAGCUCCAGCUUCUUUUGCCCCAGCGGUCCCCUCUGCGACAGCCUUUGACAUCGCAAACAAUUUCUUGACAGUGUUUGUUAAGCAUGUCCUGUGUUCGCCCAUGGAGGCAUGAAUAAACUCAUGGAAGUGAUCCCUCAGUUGCGUGACAAACGAGGUGCCGGAGUUCUUCUUUCGGCACGAAGUUGAGGUGGGCUUCACAGGAGGAGAUGAAGAUGGCUGGGGGACUUCAGACUUGAUACCGCCAGACAUUGUGGAUGAUACUGCAUAUGUUUGAAAGUGAAGUGAGAAAAAUGGACAAAAGUCUUCAAUUCAAUCCAUCAUGAUGAGCACUAACAGAAAAAUAGUAGCCCCCCUUAAAAAAGAAAAGAAAAAUAGCAGCCUAUUUGAAAAAAAAAAACUAAUUUUACAUUUGAGUUUCACAGAGAAUGUGUACAACAAAAGAAAUCAAUCAUCUUUUUCAAUGUAUAUACUAGUCAAUGGUAAAAAUGAUGAACCCAAAUCCUAAGCAUUAGAAUACUUCCAGCUACUAUAAACAAAAAAAAUGCAUAUAACCUCUAAUAAAAC